Oryza brachyantha (malo sina) is the source of this 714-nucleotide RNA transcript. RefSeq lists it as uncharacterized. NCBI's taxonomy places the organism in Eukaryota, Viridiplantae, Streptophyta, Magnoliopsida, Poales, Poaceae. The transcript has 2 exons. The record is from RefSeq and is a predicted model, not a curated record.
UCGAAUCGCAGUCCGAGUCGGCUCCAGAUAACCGCGACCAAAUCGGCUUCCCGUGCGACCAGAAGCUCGUCAGAUCGAACAUGCCGAAAUCAAUACGUCGCGGGCCACUGGACAUCGACUACAUACACGGCGCCAUCAGCAGCAAGAGGGCGGCGGACAAGGACAACGCCUCCAGCGACGCCCAGCUGGCCGGCCGGAGCUUAACACGUCGGAGACGCCGGCCGGGGAGGACGCGCCCGCCGUGGUGCAUGUUAGAGUUUAAUCUUGUCAUCGGAGUAUUUGCAUGGUUAUUUUUGUUUGCAUGUAAUAAGUGUUUGCAUCACUCACAUGAUAGAAGAUGUGUGUACGUGAGAUACGUGCAUACUGCACAGCUUGCUUGGUUCUACCUCAUGGCGAGAUGCCGAUGUGCCGUGCGGCGCGGUGGUGCGAGUGGAACCAACGGCACAAGUGAAUAUUUCAAAAGACUAAACCUGGCUGCAAGUGGAGUGUUGCGCGAAGUAACCGGACCGCAGGCCAGGCGAGGUCCAUGCUGCCGCCGAGUGAAUCGGUCCUAGCAUUAGACGUGCGUGCAUGCAUGCAUGAUGCUGCACGAUGCAUUAGUUUAGCUGCACGGUGUGAGUUGUGGCUGAGUGGGUUUGGCCGUGUUAUCUCCUUGUACGUAUGUUGAGUCUAUAUAAACAUGAAAAUGGUGUGAGCUAGUUGCUGCAUCGACCA